Molecule: long non-coding RNA, 436 nt
Organism: Mesocricetus auratus (golden hamster)
Lineage: Eukaryota; Metazoa; Chordata; Mammalia; Rodentia; Cricetidae
Exons: 4
Source: RefSeq, a predicted model, not a curated record
AGGUGUAGUGAAUUGAGUGUCAUUGAACAUGGCUGAACAAGUACAUCUGUAACAAACUACGUAGCCUUUGGACAGAUGCCAAGGAGUGCUCAUCUUUGUCAAAGAUCAAACAUGUAUGGAGUACCUAUAUGGGUUGUGGAAGAGAUAUGGAAAUGCUUCUGCUUGUUUACAAGAAAGGUCUCACCAUGGCCAGAAGUAGAAGUGGGAAUUUUCAGAAGAUUAAACAGAAAGAGAGAGAGAGAGCUUGUGUUAAAAUUUGAUAUUGGAGAUGACAUUUUGUUCUGCUUCCUAGCAGUAUCUGCAAAUUACUGAAGCCUCAGAAGAAGUCCCUGCUGCAUUUCUAUAUGCUUGACUUGAAUGACGAAGUGCUUCUCUUCAACCUCCAACUGUGCCGUAUUUCUUUAAAUGCCUAAAGUCAUUUUAUGUGCAACACAAU